RNAcentral lists this ribosomal RNA (488 nucleotides) under uncultured bacterium. Its description in RNAcentral is "bacterial SSU rRNA". It matches the Rfam family "Bacterial small subunit ribosomal RNA", at positions 28 to 518 of the family's 1533-position model. The record is from RNAcentral.
GAUGAACGCUGGCGGCGUGCUUAACACAUGCAAGUCGAACGAAGCGGCUAUGAUUGAGACUUCGGUGGAUUGAAUAGUUGACUUAGUGGCGGACGGGUGAGUAACGCGUGGGUAACCUGCCUCGUACAGGGGGAUAACAGUUAGAAAUGACUGCUGAUACCGCAUAACCCGCUAAGGUCGCAUGACCUAGACGGAAAAGAUUUAUCGGUACGAGAUGGACCCGCGUCUGAUUAGCUAGUUGGUGAGGUAACGGCUCACCAAGGCGACGAUCAGUAGCCGGCCUGAGAGGGUGAACGGCCACAUUGGGACUGAGACACGGCCCAAACUCCUACGGGAGGCAGCAGUGGGGAAUAUUGCACAAUGGGGGAAACCCUGAUGCAGCGACGCCGCGUGAGUGAAGAAGUAUUUCGGUAUGUAAAGCUCUAUCAGCAAGGAGAAAAUGACGGUACUUGACUAGAAGCCCCGGCUAACUACGUGCCAGCAGCCGC